RNAcentral lists this unclassified non-coding RNA (345 nucleotides) under soil metagenome. RNAcentral's name for it is "partial contains 5.8S ribosomal RNA, internal transcribed spacer 2, and large subunit ribosomal RNA". The stretch from base 1 to 120 matches the Rfam family "5.8S ribosomal RNA", at positions 35 to 154 of the family's 154-position model. The record is from RNAcentral.
GAUGAAGAACGCAGCGAAAUGCGAUAAGUAGUGUGAAUUGCAGAAUUCAGUGAAUCAUCGAAUCUUUGAACGCACGUUGCGCCCCCUGGUAUUCCGGGGGGCAUGCCUGUCCGAGCGUCAUUGCUGCCCUCAAGCACGGCUUGUGUGUUGGGCCUCCGUCCUCCUCCCGGGGGACGGGCCCGAAAGGCAGCGGCGGCACCGCGUCCGGUCCUCGAGCGUAUGGGGCUUCGUCACCCGCUCUUGUAGGCCCGGCCGGCGCUUGCCGACACAUCAAUCUUUUUUCCAGGUUGACCUCGGAUCAGGUAGGGAUACCCGCUGAACUUAAGCAUAUCAAUAAGCGGAGGA